RNAcentral lists this ribosomal RNA (1300 nucleotides) under Vorticeros sp. n. MW-2019. RNAcentral's name for it is "partial 28S ribosomal RNA". It matches the Rfam family "Eukaryotic large subunit ribosomal RNA", at positions 365 to 1465 of the family's 3401-position model. The record is from RNAcentral. Lineage: Eukaryota; Metazoa; Platyhelminthes; Prolecithophora; Plagiostomidae.
UGAAAAGAACUUUGAAGAGAGAGUCAAAUAGUACGUGAAACCACUCAGAGGUAAACGGGUAGAGCUGAAGUCAGCGCUCAGAAUUUAGCCAAAUGCAUGCGCUAGUGUUGUGAGGGAAGACCCUUUAAAGGGGCUUCUUUUGUGAUGCUUGGUGUAUGUGUUUGGUGCACUUUCUGGGCGUUAAAACUGCGACCGAUGCCUAGGUUGGACUGUCAUUCAGAGAAGGUGGUGCUUAGCCUUCGGGUUGGGCAUGUUAUAGCUCUGGAUAUGGUGGCCUCUGACUGAACAUCGGGAUCAGCGGUCUGGCAACAUUUGGUGUCCGCUUCGCAAGAAUGGACUUUGCAUUGACUAUUUUUAGUGAAUCAUUGUCUCACGAUUGUGUGCGGGCAUUGAUAGUCAGUCCCAUAGUCUGCAGUGUGCGAGUAGGUCAUCUACCCGACCCGUCUUGAAACACGGACCAAGGAGUUCAGUAUAUGCGCGAGUCAAUGGGCGUUACGAAACCCUACGGCGAAAUGAAAGUAAAGGCAAGCCUUGUGUUUGCUGUCAUGGGAUCCCAAGACUACGGUCAAGGGCGCACCAUGGGCCUGUGCUUCGAUCCUUGUGAUCAGUGCAGCGCUUGAGCGCAUAUACUGAGACCCGAAAGAUGGUGACCUAUACUUGUUCAGGUUGAAGCCAGAGGAAACUCUGGUGGAGGACCGCAGCAGUUCUGACGUGCAAAUCGAUUGUCAGAAAUGAGUAUAGGGGCGAAAGACUAAUCGAACCAUCUAGUAGCUGGUUCCCUCCGAAGUUUCCCUCAGGAUAGCUGGUACUCGUUUGAAUUAGUUUAACCCGGUAAAGCGAAUGAUUAGAGGUCCUGGGGACGAAAUGUCCUCAACCUAUUCUCAAACUUUAAAUGGGUUAGACGGCUUUGUCACUUAAUUGGACAUUGUCAUUGAAUAAGAGUACCUAGUGGGCCAUUUUUGGUAAGCAGAACUGGCGCUGUGGGAUGAACCAAACGUUCAGUUAAGGUGCCUAACGCGGUCGCUCAUCAGAUACCAGAAAAGGUGUUGGUUGAUAUAGACAGCAGGACGGUGGCCCUGGAAGUCGGAAUCCGCUAAGGAGUGUGUAACAACUCACCUGCCGAAUCAACCAGCCCUGAAAAUGGAUGGCGCUUUAGCGAUGGACCUAUACUGGACCGACAUAGCAAUGGUUUUGACGUAUGGACGCUAUGUCGAGUAGGAGGGUCGCCGUAGUAGCGUAGAAGCUUAUGCCGUAAGGCAGAGUGGAGCUGCUACGGGAGCAGAUCUUGGUGGCAGUAGCA